UGAGGAAUAUUGGUCAAUGGGCGCGAGCCUGAACCAGCCAAGUAGCGCGAAGGAUGAAGGUCCUAUGGAUUGUAAACUUCUUUUAUAGCAGAAUAAAGUGACCCACGUGUGGGUUUUUGUAAGUAUGCUAUGAAUAAGGAUCGGCUAACUCCGUGCCAGCAGCCGCGGUAAUACGGAGGAUCCGAGCGUUAUCCGGAUUUAUUGGGUUUAAAGGGUGCGUAGGCGGAAAGAUAAGUCAGCCUGUGAAAGUUUGCGGCUCAACCGUAAAAUGGCAGUUGAUACUGUUUUUCUUGAGUGUACAUAAGGUAGGCGGAAUUAGUGGUGUAGCGGUGAAAUGCUGAUAUAUCACGAAGAACUCCGAUUGCGAAGGCAGCUUACCGGGGUACAACUGACGCUGAUGCACGAAAGUGUGGGUAUCAAACA
This 423-nucleotide ribosomal RNA is filed under the name uncultured bacterium. Its description in RNAcentral is "bacterial SSU rRNA". It matches the Rfam family "Bacterial small subunit ribosomal RNA", at positions 355 to 774 of the family's 1533-position model. The record is from RNAcentral.